RNAcentral lists this long non-coding RNA (343 nucleotides) under Physcomitrium patens. RNAcentral's name for it is "long non-coding RNA (PPAT_LNC007751)". Lineage: Eukaryota; Viridiplantae; Streptophyta; Bryopsida; Funariales; Funariaceae. The record is from RNAcentral.
AGCUUGAUCUUUAAGUCCUUCAAUACCAUGCUAAUUUUUACCUUAAUCCGACAAAUAGAUCUUCAAAUAUCAUAGAAACCCUAUCCAACCUCAAACUACCACCAUCUAAAACCCUCUUGUACUAAAAAUUAAAUAUCUCUAAACGACGCCAUUAGAUGACCACAAAAUUUUGUAAACACUUAGCACACAUAAUAAUCCAAACAGCCUCAAGUUUUCAACCAUAGAUGUCACACCAAUUGCACGAACUAGCCAAAAUUGCUAGUCCUAAUUAUAUUAUAUAAAACCCAAAUCACUGAUACAAACCCUGACUUUGAACAAUGAUUGCUAAGUCCUCCAAAAUCCU